Molecule: ribosomal RNA, 516 nt
Filed under: Amphioctopus arenicola
Lineage: Eukaryota; Metazoa; Mollusca; Cephalopoda; Octopoda; Octopodidae
Description: partial 16S ribosomal RNA
Rfam family: Bacterial large subunit ribosomal RNA
Source: RNAcentral
GAGAGUCUCUUUGAGUUUUUUUAAUAGAGAGUUGGGCCUGCUCGGUGAUUUACAUUUAACAGCUGCGGUAUUAUAACUGUACUAAGGUAGCAUAAUAAUUUGCCUUAUAAAUUAGGGCUAGAAUGAAUGGUUUGACGAAAAUUAUACUGUCUCUAUUUUAUUCAUUAGAAGUUAAUUUUUAUAGUGAGAAAGCUUGGAUGAUUUAAAGGGACGAAAAGACCCUAUUGAGCUUUAUAUUGUAUUUUAAAUAUAAUUUGUUUUGUAUUUAUUUAAAUAUAAUUUUGGUUGGGGUGAUCAAGGAAUAAAAUAUAUUUAUAUUAACUUCCUUAGAUGUUAUAUAUAGAUAAAUUAAUAAACCAAAUUUAUUGCUUAGAAGAUAAGUUACCAUAGGGAUAACAGCGUAAUUUUUUUUGAAAGUUCAUAUUGAAAAAAGAGAUUGCGACCUCGAUGUUGGAUUAAAAUAACCUUAAGGUGGAGAGGCUUUAAUUGGUAAAUCUGUUCGAUUUUUAAAAUUUU